AUGACUCUCGCGAACGGAUAUCUCGGCUCUCGUAUCAAUGAAGAACGUAGAAAAAUGCGAUACUUGGUGUGAAUUGCAGAAUCCCGUGAACCAUCGUGUCUUUGAACACAAGUUGCACCCGAGCCCACCUGGCCAAGGGCACGCAUGCCAGGACAUCACAAGAACGAGUUGCUUCGGCGCUCGCCCGCUGCCCGACACGAAGACUGGCCCCCGCUGCUUGGUGGCCCGAAGACCAGUGCCCGCCCUUCCCCGGUGUGGGACGGGGCGCGACGAGCGUUGGACCAGCGAAGCGCCGAGUUCCCGAGGUCGUUGUACCCCCUCCACGCAGGGGGAGGGGCCCUGUGCGCCACCAAUGGAUGAAAAGGACCGCCACAAAGGAGGAAUGACCUCCCCCAUCUGCCGGCCCUCAUACCGUGACUCUAGGUUAGGCGGGGCCACUGGCUGAGUUUAAGCAUAUCAAUAAGCAGAGGAAAAGAAACUUAUGAGGAUUGCCCUAGUAAUGGCGAGCGAACCAGGAAGAGCCCAGCUUUAGAAUCAGGCGGUAACACAGCCCGAAUUGUAGUCUGUAGAAGCGUCCUCAGCUACGAACCAGGCCCAAGUCCCCUGGAAAAUGGUGCCGAAGAGGGUGAGAACCCCGUAUGUGAUAAUUUGGUCUUCAUUUUACUCGUUUGCUGGUUGAAUAUCUUAGUCAUUUUGAUUGUUUCUUCAUUUUAUUUUGUUUGAGGCUUUUGCCUAGUUUUUGGAGUUGUUUGGAGAGUGUUUGAGGGUGUUUUGGAGUGAUUUUAGGGUGCGUGGGCUGUACGCAGCCCGCACAAACUUGUGCCGCCUGUGCACAGGCCACACAACACCUCCUGCGAGCGGUGCGGCCUCCUGUGCAGGCCGCACAGGUGGCCGCACACCCUAGGCAGAGGAGUGUGCGGCUUGGUGUGUAGGUCACACACCAGCUCGCACACCCUUCUACCUAGGGUGGGCAGGAACUGCGCAGCCCACACACCGUCAUAUUUGCCUUAUAAAAACCUUAUUUUGGCUUCUUUUCUUCAUAUUUCUUCUCCCAAACCCUCCUAAUUCCUUCUCCUCUCUUCCUCCAUCAUUUCAUUAGGUUUUAAAGUUGUUUUAGAUGAGAUUUUUCUUCUUGAUUCUUGGAUCGUUGAGUUGCUCAUUCAUUGGAUAAAGGUAAGUUCCAUCCUAUUUCAUGCUUCUUCUUUGUUCUUUGAUGGAGAUGGUUAGAGUUGGUUUUGAACCCUUAUGAGAGCAUGAUUUUUUCUCUUUUCUUUCCUCUUUGACGGCAAAUCCUGUGAGGAUUAAUUGUCUUGAAGUGUAUGGCUUGAUUUAGUGAAAUCCUUGAACCCUCUUCACAUUGAUCCCGGAAUUGCUGUAGCACCAACCGAAGUUAGGUCAUUCUUGCUUUCCUUGUUGGUUUUAAGAGUUGUGAGAGAUCUUUAUCUUCUUAGAACUUCUUGUUAUGGUGUUUAUCAAACCCUAGAAGCAACCAUUCAGCAUUUUGUGCAUUUUUCUUUCAUUUUAGUUAAUCAAGUGUUUGAUGGUAUAUGGUUGCUUGUUUUGGUUGUUUAAAUGCUUCUAGGAGGGCGCGGUGGGCGUCGUGAAGCCCGGGGCACUAGCCCUGCUGGAGUGGCUGUUGAUGUGGAUCUUUGUGGUAGUAGCAAAUAUUCAAAUGAGAACUUUAAAGGCAAAGAUGGGAAUGAUUCCAUGUGAACGACACUUGCACAUCGGUUAGCUGAUCCCAAGGGAUAGGGGAGGCCUGUCAGAGAGUGCGUCUGCACGCGAGCUCUGAAAGGGAAUCAGGUUAAAAUUCUAGAGCCGGGACGUGGUGGCUGACGGCGACGUUAGGGAGCCCGGAGACACCGGCGGGGCCCGGGGCAGAGUUGUCAUUUCUGGUUAACGGCCCGCCUACCUUAGAAACGGCUCAGCCGGAGUUAGGGUCUAACGGCCAAAAGGGAACUGCACGUCGCAUGGUGUCCGGUGCACCACCAGUGGCCCGUGAAAAUUCAGAGGACCGAUGUUGAUGAAACAAUGGUUGUCCCGGCCAUGAACCCGUCGCCUGUUGGCAUAAUGCUCGAGCUGCAUCCAUGGCGACAGUGGGCCGCCAUGUGUCGACCGGAGGACGGACUGGUAAAGGCCUGCACGCCACUUCAACGGAGCGGGGUCCUUCCCCGGUCAUCAUUGCGAUGGUUCUCGCGGAUGCUUAGGCAAUGUGAUUUCUGCCCAGUGCUCUAAAUGUCAAAGUGAAGAAAUUCAACCAAGCACGGGUAAAUGGCGGGAGUAACUAUGACUCUCUUAAGUUAGCCAAAUGACACAUCAUCUAAUUAGUGACGUGCAUGCAUGGAAUAAUAAGAUUCCCAUUGUCCCUGUCUACUAUCCAGCGAAAUCACAACCAAGGAAACGGGCUUAGCUGAAUCAGCGGGGAAAGAAGGCCCUAUUGAGCUUGACUCUAGUCCUACUUUGUGAAAUGAAUUGAGAGAUGUAGGAUAAGUUGGAGCUCUUGGGCGAAAGUGAAAUACCACUACUUGUAAUGUUAUUUUCGUUAUUCCAUGGACUGGAGAUAGGGCUCUGCCCCUCCUUUUGGCUCCAAGGCUGUGCCCCGCGCACUGCUGAUCCAGGUUAAAGACAUUUCAGGUGGGGAGUUUGGUUGGGGUGGCACAUCUGCUAAAAGAUAACGGAAGUGUCCUAAGAUGAGCUCAACGAGAGAAGAAAUCUCUUAUAUAGAACAAAAGGUUAAAAGCUCGUUUGAUUUUGUUUUCCGGUAUGAAUACAAACCGUGAAAGCAUGGCCUAUCGAUUUUUUAGCCCUUUGGGAUUUAAAGCUAGAGGUGUCAAAAAUGUUACCACAAGGAUAACUGGCUUAUGGCAGCCAAGCGUUCAUACCAACAUUGCUUUUUGAUUCUUCGAUGUCGGCUAUUACUAUCAUUGUGAAGUAGAAUUUACCAAGUGUUGGAUUAUUCACCCACGAAUAGGGAACAUAAGCUGGAUUUAGACCGUCGUCAGACAAGUUAGUUUUAUCCUACUGAUGACCACGCCGCUGAUUAGUGCUCCUGCUAUAGUAAUGCGAGGUGUUAUUAUCUUACAAUGAUCAUUGA
This 3094-nucleotide ribosomal RNA is filed under the name Dioscorea alata (purple yam). RNAcentral's name for it is "eukaryotic LSU rRNA". The stretch from base 415 to 3045 matches the Rfam family "Eukaryotic large subunit ribosomal RNA". Lineage: Eukaryota; Viridiplantae; Streptophyta; Magnoliopsida; Dioscoreales; Dioscoreaceae. The record is from RNAcentral.